This 2625-nucleotide long non-coding RNA is filed under the name Monomorium pharaonis (pharaoh ant). RNAcentral describes it as "uncharacterized LOC114255371, transcript variant X1". Lineage: Eukaryota; Metazoa; Arthropoda; Insecta; Hymenoptera; Formicidae. The record is from RNAcentral.
AUGGAAAGUAGAUGAGUCAAUAGGAGUAAGUACUUGGUAAAUGUAACACGUUCGUGUGAGCUUACGCUAAUUGCUUAUAGUCGUUUAAAAGAGAGCACGCAAAGUUAUAGAGAGAGAGAGAGAGAGAGAGAGAGAGAGAUCAAGUAAAUUAGUAUAGGUGAGAGUUUUUACGUUAACGUGCUAUUAUACGCCCGCAUAUCGCCGACGACAACACAGCGGAAGGAGUGAGUUGAACUGUAACUGCGUGUAACAGUCCUCAUCCCGAGUUGCACACCUGCCAUUCACCUUUAUUAAUAUUUGACUUCGCCGGCGACGAUGACGACGCGAAGACUCCUCGUCGCUUCGAUUCGUAGUCGAGCGAAGCAAAAAUCAUUAGCACAAGCGAAAAGAAAGUACAUAGGUAGCGGAGGGAUAUGUACAGCUAGGGUACCGAGAAGUAGAAGACGUAACACACCGCCACCGGAGGUAUAUAGUGUAAGUCCGGGAGAAGUCCCGCGCUGAUCGAUACGUAAAGCCCAUUUCUCGGUCGAAAGGAGAAAAUGCGCGAUUUAACCGGAGUACGCGAGGCACAAUUGUCGUCAUCUAACGCGUUACCUUUCGCGUUACCGGACAGGCACCGGUUUUUCAAUCUUGCAGGUCACGAACCGAACACUCGCGUCCCCAUUAGAUGCGCCAGUGUUGCGACGUACGGGAUGCCCCCGAAGAGGAGACAUUAGAAAACGCGCACGAGAAAAAGAAGACACUCUUCAAGAGGUGUAAAAUGCACGAAUUUCUCUGUGGCGCUAAAAAAAAGUAUUUCUCGUAAAAAUAUUUAAAAGGAAAUUAGUACAGAUAUGUAUUUUUGAUAUGAAGGAGAGACGUCUGAUAAAGCAUUCCAUCCCUCUAAUGGGAAACCGAGAAUAGAUAAGCGUCCACGUUUCACAAGGGACGUGAAUGCUAAAUUCGGCAAAUAGGACGCGAGUUUUAAAGAUCCCCUGGCAUUCUCUCGAAUGUCGCUCUCCUCGAAAAUUCGGCAUGGAUCGAACGCGGAUGGAUAUUGACCCACGAGCUCGGAACGUGAUAUAACGAUGACUCACUAAAUGUUCGUCGAUUUCUCGUCAAAUGAAUAUCAUGAAUACCGUUACGUAAAUAUUAAUAAAUAUAUUAACACAUAUACUUAUACAUAAAUAUGUAUAUUGUUUAAUUUUUAUUUGUCCUACGCAUUUCUAUAUUAUAUAAAAAUUUAUUCAUUAUUAUGUAUUCGAGAUGUGUUAAAUAUAUUAAAAUAUAUUUCUAAAAAGUUGAGUUUAGUUUCCUUCGCGCGCGAACGGUUCCUUCAAGUAACAGAGGCACCGAGAUUACCGACUCCAAAAAAUAUCGUAAGGAGCGCCCGGGGAAUUUUACUCGAAAUGCAUCGCAUAGAUGGUGAAAGGUGACCGGUAAGCGUGUGCUACGAUCUCCAAAUGUAGGACGAUAAAUGGCACUGGCCCGAUUUAUCGUAGAGAGCAUUGCGGAUUACAUUAGCUCGCGUUCCGCGCGCCAACGUCCCCGCGACGUCACCGAAGAAAGAGGGAUCAUUUUGAAAUUCAAACGUUUCUAAGUUGUAGAGAUAUCAAGAAAUCUAACGGUUAAAAAAUCGUCAAAUAGAUAUGCAACGACGUCAAAACUGGCGCGAAAAAUAUGAUAAAGACUACUUCGUUUCUAUCGAGAGAAAAAAAUAGUUGCAUAAUAUCACUAUAAUGUAAUUAUUUUUAGUCCCAACAUAUAUUUAUAGUUAUUCAACAAUGUAAAUUACAGUUUGCUUCAUAAUAUUGGUUUAUUAAUAUCGGUUCUAUUAUUCAUUCAAAAUAUGUAAUCAAGUGCCUUCACAAUUCUAGGAUUUUCCAGCAAUUUUGUUCAAAAUUUCAGCUGUAUAAUUAGAGAAUUUUUUUUAAUGCCUAUCGUUUUGAUCUCAAGGAUUUUGUUUUCAGCUUCAUUCGGCAAAAUAUUUGCGAGAUUCUCUGCGAUGAUUCGCGACGAUCACGAACUCUUGAUUUAUCGUGCGGAGUGACGGGCGAGCAAUCCCCUGCAUCCUCUGCAUCGGGCGACCGAUGCCUGCACCGCGAAUGCAUGGAAUCUGACCUUUCUUGCGCCGCGUUCAGCUCUCGCGCGAAAUCUCCGCUUACCGUUAGCGUUAGCGGGCCUAUCGCGGGGCGCACACGGGUGUAGGUAAUCCUCCUUGAGCGACGCGAUUUUCAUUACAUUAGCAUUACAUUGUUCCUCCCCUAGGGAAAAAAAAGGAGUCGCGGCGAUAUUCAAACGAGACAAUCGACGGAUCAUUGUACUUUGCAGGUCCUGCGCUAAUAUAAGGAUAUUACAAUUAGGAAUUGUAAUUUCCUUAAGAGGCAGUUGCUGAAUCUUUAGCUCGUGAUGGCCUUAAAAAAAAAUGAGACUCUGGAUUUGGGAAUCUCUCUAUCACAUACGAAUCUCUCAGGGGCCAAGAAUCCUGCCUUUCGUUUCUCCUCGGAUCUUCGAAUUUUUCAACUUGUUCCGAGUGAAACAAAGUGGGAGAAAAGAACCCGAGAAUAUGAAAUCUAACUUCCCAUCGAGAUCAAGACUAAAGGAGAAGAAAAGGAAACAAAAGUAGAUAGACACACAGAAAAAAAA